This 73-nucleotide transfer RNA is filed under the name Nitrosarchaeum sp. RNAcentral's name for it is "tRNA-Lys". It matches the Rfam family "tRNA". From Rfam's summary of the family: Transfer RNA (tRNA) molecules are approximately 80 nucleotides in length. Their secondary structure includes four short double-helical elements and three loops (D, anti-codon, and T loops). Lineage: Archaea; Thermoproteati; Nitrososphaerota; Nitrososphaeria; Nitrosopumilales; Nitrosopumilaceae. The record is from RNAcentral.
GGGCUCGUGAUGCAAUUGGUAGCAUAACAGGUUUUUACCCUGGAGGUUGGGAGUUCGAUUCUCUCCGGGCCCA